Molecule: long non-coding RNA, 1057 nt
Organism: Paralichthys olivaceus (Japanese flounder)
Lineage: Eukaryota; Metazoa; Chordata; Actinopteri; Pleuronectiformes; Paralichthyidae
Source: RefSeq, a predicted model, not a curated record
GGACCUGCAGCUCAGAGCCAGUUCCAGUUUGAACUGCUUCAUGUCACGAGUCGGUGAGACAGAGUGUGAGGAUCAGUGUUAACAGGAGGAGGAGGAGGGACGCUCUCGGCUCUAAUAGAGCCCACUGUGUUGGUUUGACAGCCUCGUUAAUUAUCUCAUUUAAACACUUAUUACCCACAGCUGUCAACUUAAAGGAGCAACAGGGGGCUGAGAGAACAAAGACUCUGAGGAACCCUGAGGUCUGACGACACGGAGCGAGCCCAGGACAAAUCUGACUGACGCUGGAGACAUCGCACAUGGAGCUUCUGAGCGUCUUGUACGGACCCCCCCCCUUGUCCCCUGAACGGGCCCCUCUGUCACAGCAUUUAGCAUCGGGCGCUAAUCAGGGACGGCCUCCAUACUGUCGUCCCCAGCGAGCAGGUGGAGCAGGCGAAGACUGAUGACUCUCACAUGCACAUGGAGCCCUGGAGCCGGGAUCGAGCCUCGCUGCCUCUAACUGCUCAAAUAUGUCCCAUUUACAUCCACUUGGACAUUUUGGAAAAUAUCUGACCUGCAGCUGGAAGACGAUGGUAACUCCCACAAACCUGCGGGGCAGAGACAGGAUUUGAAAACAAGCACCCGUGGCUCUGUUCCAGAUUCAAUUUAAAUAUUUUAGAGCAGGUCCGCGCCUGCAGCCACGAAUUGUUUAACAUUAACGCUCGACAUAUUUUCUGUUUCCUCUCAGACAUGUCACAGUUUGGAUUUAAUGAAGUCACCAGCACGAGAACAUGUUUGUCUGAAUCGCACACGAUAUAACGUGAUUAUGAAAAUAUGCUCAUGUGAAUAUUUCAACCAUCUGAGGAGCCUCAUGUUUUAAUCAAACAUGUGAAACACAUGAGGAUCAAAAUGAUUCUUUUAAUAUUGAAUAUUUUACUGAAUUGAAAUCUGAUGUUUUCUUCAUUUUCCUAAAGUUCAGUCUGUGGCAGCACAUGGUCAAAACUAUGUGGACAUGUAACAUGUGACAUGUUACAUGAUCUGUUAAUAUACAGGUUUGAUAAUAAAGUUCAUCAGAGCUGGU